GUGAGGAAUAUUGCGCAAUGGAGGCAACUCUGACGCAGCCAUGCCGCGUGCAGGAAGAAGGCGCUACGCGUUGUAAACUGCUUUUAACCGGGAAGAAACCCCAGGACGUGUCCUGGGUUGACGGUACCGGAGGAAUAAGCACCGGCUAACUUCGUGCCAGCAGCCGCGGUAAUACGAAGGGUGCAAGCGUUAUCCGGAUUCAUUGGGUUUAAAGGGUGCGUAGGCGGAGCGUUAAGUCAGUGGUGAAAUCCUGCAGCUUAACUGUAGACUUGCCAUUGAUACUGGCGCUCUUGAGUGCGCUUGAAGUGGGCGGAAUGUGCCGUGUAGCGGUGAAAUGCUUAGAUAUGGCACAGAACACCAAUUGCGAAGGCAGCUCACUAAGGCGAUACUGACGCUGAGGCACGAAAGCGUGGGGAUCGAACAGGAUUAGAUACCCUAGUGGUCC
This 445-nucleotide ribosomal RNA is filed under the name uncultured bacterium. RNAcentral's name for it is "partial 16S ribosomal RNA". It matches the Rfam family "Bacterial small subunit ribosomal RNA", at positions 354 to 796 of the family's 1533-position model. The record is from RNAcentral.